UUUCCCAUUUCUUGAUUUACAGAAAUGAAGGGGCUACUCAGGGUAGAGUUCUGAAUCUCAAAACACUCUACUCUGGCAACGGAAUGAAGUUAUUGGAGUGAUGACAGGAACACGGGAGAACAAUGCUCUGUUUGGGCUGGAUAUUUCUUUGGCUUGUUGCAGGAGAGCGAAUUAAAGGAUUUAAUAUUUCAGGUUGUUCCACAAAAAAACUCCUUUGGACAUAUUCUACAAGGAGUGAAGAGGAAUUUGUCUUAUUUUGUGAUUUACCAGAGCCACAGAAAUCACAUUUCUGCCACAGAAAUCGACCCUCACCAAAACAAGUCCCUGAGCACCUGCCCUUCACGGGUAGUAAGGACCUAUCUGAUGUCCAAUGGUACCGACAACCUUCGAAUGGAGAUCCAUUAGAGGACAUUAGGAAAAGCUAUCCUCACAUCAUUCAGGACAAAUGUACCCUUCACUUUUUGACCCCAGGGGUGAAUAAUUCUGGGUCAUAUAUUUGUAGACCCAAGAUGAUUAAGUAUGUUCCAAAUACAUUUCUAUCUAAAAACAUUUCCAAAUCCUCUAUUAUCUAG
RNAcentral lists this small RNA (572 nucleotides) under Pan troglodytes (chimpanzee). RNAcentral describes it as "retained intron". Lineage: Eukaryota; Metazoa; Chordata; Mammalia; Primates; Hominidae. The record is from RNAcentral.